GAGCCCAGGAGGCGGGGCGCCUGUGGGAGCCGUGGAGGGAACUUUCCCAGUCCCCGAGGCGGAUCCGGUGUUGCAUCCUUGGAGCGAGCUGAGAGCUCGAGUACAGAACCUGCUAAGGCCAUCAAACCUAUUGAUCGGAAGUCAGUCCAUCAGAUUUGCUCUGGGCCGGUGGUACCGAGUCUAAGCACUGCGGUGAAGGAGUUAGUAGAAAACAGUCUGGAUGCUGGUGCCACUAAUAUUGAUCUAAAGCUUAAGGACUAUGGAGUGGAUCUCAUUGAAGUUUCAGGCAAUGGAUGUGGGGUAGAAGAAGAAAACUUCGAAGGCUUAACUCUGAAACAUCACACAUCUAAGAUUCAAGAGUUUGCCGACCUACCUCAGGUUGAAACUUUUGGCUUUCGGGGGGAAGCUCUGAGCUCACUUUGUGCACUGAGUGAUGUCACCAUUUCUACCUGCCAUGUAUCGGCGAAGGUUGGGACUCGACUGGUGUUUGAUCACUAUGGGAAAAUCAUCCAGAAAACCCCCUACCCCCACCCCAGAGGGAUGACAGUCAGUGUGAAGCAGUUAUUUUCUACGCUACCUGUGCACCAUAAAGAAUUUCAAAGGAAUAUUAAGAAGAAACGUGCCUGCUUCCCCUUCGCCUUCUGCCGUGAUUGUCAGUUUCCUGAGGCCUCCCCAGCCAUGCUUCCUGUACAGCCUGCAGAACUGCUUUCAAAUAUUAGAACAUCCAUGUUCUGACCUCAUUAAAAUUGCUCUUUUGU
RNAcentral lists this long non-coding RNA (758 nucleotides) under Homo sapiens (human). Its description in RNAcentral is "novel transcript". Lineage: Eukaryota; Metazoa; Chordata; Mammalia; Primates; Hominidae. The record is from RNAcentral.